RNAcentral lists this ribosomal RNA (492 nucleotides) under uncultured bacterium. RNAcentral describes it as "partial 16S ribosomal RNA". It matches the Rfam family "Bacterial small subunit ribosomal RNA", at positions 29 to 507 of the family's 1533-position model. The record is from RNAcentral.
AGUGAACGCUGGCGGUAGGCCUAACACAUGCAAGUCGAACGGCAGCACAGUAAGAGCUUGCUCUUACGGGUGGCGAGUGGCGGACGGGUGAGGAAUACAUCGGAAUCUACUUUUUCGUGGGGGCUAACGUAGGGAAACUUACGCUAAUACCGCAUACGACCUACGGGUGAAAGCAGGGGAUCUUCGGACCUUGCGCGAUUGAAUGAGCCGAUGUCGGAUUAGCUAGUUGGCGGGGUAAAGGCCCACCAAGGCGACGAUCCGUAGCUGGCCUGAGAGGAUGAUCGGCCACACUGGAACUGAGACACGGUCCAGACUCCUACGGGAGGCAGCAGUGGGGAAUAUUGGACAAUGGGCGCAAGCCUGAUCCAGCAAUACCGCGUGGGUGAAGAAGGCCUUCGGGUUGUAAAGCCCUUUUAUUGGGAAAGAAAAGCAGCAGGUUAAUACCCCGCUGUUCUGACGGUACCCAAAGAAAAAGCACCGGCUAACUUCGUG